UCCUCACUACCCUAAACACAGUUGGUCUCAUCUAACCUUGGAAGCUAAGCAGGGUUGGGCCUGGUAAGUACUUGGAUGGGAAACCAUGAGUUAAUACAAGACAUUCAGGGU
Molecule: ribosomal RNA, 111 nt
Filed under: Pogona vitticeps (central bearded dragon)
Lineage: Eukaryota; Metazoa; Chordata; Lepidosauria; Squamata; Agamidae
Source: RNAcentral